Sander lucioperca (pikeperch) is the source of this 680-nucleotide long non-coding RNA. RefSeq lists it as uncharacterized. Lineage: Eukaryota; Metazoa; Chordata; Actinopteri; Perciformes; Percidae. The record is from RefSeq and is a predicted model, not a curated record. The transcript has 5 exons.
CAUCAACAGGCAAGACCAAAGUCACAACACACGAAGAAGAGAUCCCAGAGACAGAGUUGGAAAGUCAGCAGAGGGCAGCAGUGAACAAUGACAUGUCUUCACCGGAUCUAUUACUGACCUGAAGACUGAGCUAUAGAGACACAGUGAGCUGACAUCCACAGUCGAGUCAUCUUUGAAAGAAUAUAAAGACCCCAAGCACCACAGUCGAGGCUGACUUUUCAUUCAAGAAAAACUCUACUGUACCUCAAACAGGCCGCGAGCCACGGGAAAGAUCCUCCUGACCACCUGCAUGGCGUCACCGGGGUCAGACAGGAAGGGCAGCCAGCAGAGGGCAAAAGUCACCAACACUGUUGAAGCAAUUCUCACCAACAGGAAAAGCCUACAUGAAGAGGGUCACACAGAGAGACAUGCAUCAUGUCUGAGUGCAGGAGGAUCACUACGUCUUGUAUGGAUUCAUAUACGCCACAGAUCUACCACCGCCUACUGUGUUUUGUCUGUGGUGAAAUACUAUUACAACAACUACAUAAAGCCAUCCCAUCUAUCAAAGGGGUAUGAUUUAAGGGUACUUGAGCCCAUCUGAUUGUGCUGUGUGGGUAUGUAUGAAAAUUCCUUAAAAAUGUAAAAAAAAAAAAAAAAAAAAGAGAGAAAGAAAACACAAGACACAAACAAUCAGACUCACC